RNA transcript from Ixodes scapularis (black-legged tick), 694 nucleotides. RefSeq lists it as uncharacterized. The transcript is spliced from 3 exons. NCBI's taxonomy places the organism in Eukaryota, Metazoa, Arthropoda, Arachnida, Ixodida, Ixodidae. The record is from RefSeq and is a predicted model, not a curated record.
UAAAUCGGAAUAUGGUAAAAAGUUGACACCUCUGCAGCAUCUGUUACACCGUGUGAAGCGUGUGCCAUGGUUAUGAGAGUCCCUGCCUUCCGCAGGCCGCCACGACCCAUGUUCCGAGGCAUGUUUCCCCCUCCCCCGUACGGGGGCUUUCCCCCCGGGCCACCACACCCCAGGUUUGCCGGACCCCCUGUGGUUCCUCCCCAUCCUCCGGCGGUGUUCUCCCCCAUGGUGCGGGCCCCCAUGGGGGUCUUUGGACCUCCUCCCCCGCCUCCUGGCCACUUCCUGAGGGCCCGGGGGGGCCCGGGAGGGGCCAUGCGUCCCAGGCCCAGCUUCCGGCCCCCCAAGUUUAGCCCCUACCCAAGCCCGAGCAAGCCCAAGGUCGAGACGCCCAGUGGGGACGCAACCAGAUAUCAUCCCUUCGGGACCCCAUGACGCGUGUGCCCGCGGCAUACUACACGGACACUUGUGUCGUAUGGGAGAUUGGGAGUGUUAAACGAAAGUCGCUUAGAUCUGCGACGUUGAGAAAAGUGGCCGGCCCAAGUCCGAAAUCGCCAAAGAAUUCGACAUUCCGGCAUCAACUGUUCGACACUGCCCACCAUUUUGCAGAACAAGCAAGGCAUAUUAGAUGGGUUCGAGAAGUUUCUCGUGCAGGAGAAAGCGCACCCGUGACCCGAAGAUAAAAGAUCGCCAACUG